ACGGGAGACACACGGCGGGUGCUAACGUCCGUCGUGAAGAGGGAAACAACCCAGACCGCCAGCUAAGGUCCCAAAGUCAUGGUUAAGUGGGAAACGAUGUGGGAAGGCACAGACAGCCAGGAUGUUGGCUUAGAAGCAGCCAUCAUUUAAAGAAAGCGUAAUAGCUCACUGGUCGAGUCGGCCUGCGCGGAAGAUGUAACGGGGCUAAACCAUGCACCGAAGCUGCGGCAGCGACACUAUGUGUUGUUGGGUAGGGGAGCG
RNAcentral lists this ribosomal RNA (261 nucleotides) under Klebsiella pneumoniae. RNAcentral's name for it is "partial 23S ribosomal RNA". It matches the Rfam family "Bacterial large subunit ribosomal RNA", at positions 977 to 1238 of the family's 2925-position model. The record is from RNAcentral. RNAcentral also lists the same sequence under 1 other name. Lineage: Bacteria; Pseudomonadati; Pseudomonadota; Gammaproteobacteria; Enterobacterales; Enterobacteriaceae.